AGCGAACAGACGAGGAGCUUGCUCCUCUGACGUUAGCGGCGGACGGGUGAGUAACACGUGGAUAACCUACCUAUAAGACUGGGAUAACUUCGGGAAACCGGAGCUAAUACCGGAUAAUAUAUUGAACCGCAUGGUUCAAUAGUGAAAGACGGUUUUGCUGUCACUUAUAGAUGGAUCCGCGCCGCAUUAGCUAGUUGGUAAGGUAACGGCUUACCAAGGCAACGAUGCGUAGCCGACCUGAGAGGGUGAUCGGCCACACUGGAACUGAGACACGGUCCAGACUCCUACGGGAGGCAGCAGUAGGGAAUCUUCCGCAAUGGGCGAAAGCCUGACGGAGCAACGCCGCGUGAAUGAUGAAGGUCUUCGGAUCGUAAAACUCUGUUAUUAGGGAAGAACAAAUGUGUAAGUAACUAUGCACGUCUUGACGGUACCUAAUC
Molecule: ribosomal RNA, 437 nt
Filed under: uncultured Staphylococcus sp.
Lineage: Bacteria; Bacillati; Bacillota; Bacilli; Caryophanales; Staphylococcaceae
Description: bacterial SSU rRNA
Rfam family: Bacterial small subunit ribosomal RNA
Source: RNAcentral